CAGAGAAACAAGCGCACAACCAUCUUUCAAAUUUUGUAUUCACUUCCGUUUGUGCAGUCGCUCUGUAUAUUUCUAUGGCAUCGCUGUUAAUGAGUAAUUAGCUGCUGAAGUGGAUUUACUUAUUAUAGAGUUAACAAAAGUUAUCAUGAGCAUUGUAAUGUAUGAAGUGGAUGCCAUAUAAAAUGUCAGUAGACCGGGAAUAUUUUAAAACGAGCAGUUAAUUCAUAAAUCCAUAAGAUCUUACCUUCAUGCUGUGGAAAUACAAACCAGAAGACAGAACACAAUGAACACAGUGCUGAAAAGGGGCGGGCUACAUAAGGGUCUAUAUGGUUAUAUGAUACUUCCUUUACAUUUAAUAAUGUUGUAUCAUGCUUUACUUUUUUGCUGUGCUUGUUAUUUUGUGGGUGUUACUGUUCCUGUGUGCUUUCCUCCUGCAGGUUCAGGUUCAGGGUAUGACAGGAAAUAUUCAGUUCGACUCGUUUGGACGGCGAUCAAAUUACACCAUUGAUGUUUAUGAAAUGAAACCAGGAGGAGCCAGAAAGAUUGGCUACUGGAAUGAAUAUGAGAAAUUUGUUUAUAUAGUGGAGCAGCAGGUUAC
This is a long non-coding RNA of Sinocyclocheilus rhinocerous, 598 nucleotides long. RefSeq lists it as uncharacterized. The transcript has 2 exons. Lineage: Eukaryota; Metazoa; Chordata; Actinopteri; Cypriniformes; Cyprinidae. The record is from RefSeq and is a predicted model, not a curated record.